UACGGGGGGUGCAAGCGUUAUUCGGAAUCAUUGGGCGUAAAGAGCACGUAGGCGGCUUGGUAAGUCAGAUGUGAAAGCCCGGGGCUUAACCCCGGAAGUGCAUUUGAUACUGCCAGGCUUGAGUAUGGGAGAGGGAAGUGGAAUUCCUGGUGUAGAGGUGAAAUUCGUAGAUAUCAGGAGGAACACCGGUGGCGAAGGCGACUUCCUGGACCAAUACUGACGCUGAGGUGCGAAGGCGUGGGUAGCAAACAGG
This 253-nucleotide ribosomal RNA is filed under the name uncultured bacterium. RNAcentral describes it as "partial 16S ribosomal RNA". It matches the Rfam family "Bacterial small subunit ribosomal RNA", at positions 524 to 776 of the family's 1533-position model. The record is from RNAcentral.